This is a long non-coding RNA of Oncorhynchus tshawytscha (Chinook salmon), 3702 nucleotides long. NCBI's taxonomy places the organism in Eukaryota, Metazoa, Chordata, Actinopteri, Salmoniformes, Salmonidae. The record is from Ensembl.
CAUGAUCAUUGCUUCAGCCACACCAUCUCCCACACAUUCACCUACAUCAUCUUCCUCUUCACCUUCCUCCUCCCCCUAGCUCUCUGGCUGAAACAAGCAUCCUGACUGAAUGUCUCACUUCUGUUCAAAUGUCUAUUUAUCCGUUUAACCCAUAUAAAAAGGAAACUUCUGAAGAAAUUAUAUUUUUUUAAAGAAUCAAAAAUGAAAUCAGGAAUAACUAUUUAAUGAAGAUAUACAGGAUAAACAAUGUUAUUUAUCAUCAUUGUUUUGAUUACAGAGAUAACGAUUGCUAGGUCUCCAUUUUCAUCAUUAGUAGUAUUAAUAUCAAGUUCAUUGUCAGGUUUUGCUUAAAGCAUCACUUGUUUAAUUUUCAUUGCAUCAAGUUGACAUCAUUCAUGUUAAUAUAAGCAUGCACACAUGUUUCUCCAUGUCCAUUCAGAACUGCACUAACACUGAGAGAGACAGAGGAGAGAGGAGUCCUACACACAGAGAGAGCGGACAAGAUGGAGGGAGGCGGAGAGAGGGGGUGAAUGGCUGUGUGGAGAGAGAGGGAAGUGGGGAAAAGGGAGUUUUCAGAAAUAGAGUGGGAGAACAAGCAAUCAAAGAGAGCAAGAGACAGGUAUAGAAAGAGAUAAAGGGAAAAGAUAAAGGUAUAUUGAGAGAGAGAGAGGCAGAGAGAGAGAGAGAGGCAGAGAGAGAGAGAGAGAGGCAGAGCAGGCAUGCAGAGGCAUAGAAAGAGAUAAAGGGGCAAGAGAAAGGUAUAUUGAGAGAGAGAGAGCGAGAGGGAGAGAGAGAGAGCGGCAGGCAUAGAAAGAGAUAAAGGGGAAAGAGAAAGGUAUAUUUAGAGAGCGAGAGAGAGAGAGAUAGGUAUAUUUAGAGAGAGGGAGAGAGAGAGGAGAUAUAUUUAGAGAGAGAGAGAGAGAGAGAGGCAGGGGCAGAGAAAGAGAUAAAGGGGAAGGUAUAUUUAGAGAUAAAGGGGCAAGAGGAAGGUAUAUUUAAAGAGAGAGAGAGAGAGAGAGAGAGAGAGAGCGGCAGGCAGGCAUAGAAAGAGAUAAAGGGGCGAGAGGAAGGUAUAUUUAGAGAGAGAGAGAGAGCGAGAGAGAGCGAGGGUAAUACUGAGAGCACACUAGCAACCUCCAGUGCUGAGUGAGUGCUAACACCACAGUGUUAUGGGGCAGAGGAUCAUGUGGACUGUGAGGGAUAGAGACAGAGCCUGGAGAUAGGCCAAUGGAUCAAUACUAUAGUAUCUACUUAUACAGGCAGAUCAAUGACCUCCCAGAACAACCUGAGCAGACAUACAGUUCCAGAUGGAAAACUUCUGGCUAUGAUAUGGGAUAUACAGCUUUAAUCUGUGUACAUACCAAGCAUACCAGAAAGCAUCCCUGCACUUCCUUGGCCUGAAGUUGGAAUAGUAACUGGAUCCCCCUGAAUGCGUUUAAGGGGAAAUGGCAGCCAUAGCAUUAGUAGUGCUAACUGUUAGUUGAGGUUAUAGUAGCAGAAGUGGUGGUAGACAUGGUUCUCCCAUGGCAGUAGCCACAUGGUGCUUAAAGAGGAAGUGCAGAGCGUAAACAGGGGGUCAUUGUAUUUCACAAAGAUAAAGGACAUGGCUACCCCCUCUCUGUCUCCCCGUUUGGAGGGACUGCUAGGGGACAUAAAAGAGUCAUUACUCAGCCCAAAAUUCUACCUCAAGUAAUCAAAACGUAUCUAACAUCACGGUGCCAACUGGUUUCCCCUCAGACACACAGUACACAUUUACUAAAAGUAGUACACAACCAACACAGUUACUUAGAUCAGGCAGGGGGGGCACUUUUGAGUGACUGACAGCUGAUCUGGGAAACAACACACACAAUACACUCUAAUCUCUGUGAGAGACCGACUGUUCAUCAGGGAUCAUAAGUAUCCCACUCCCCACCAAGUGCAAUGGGUCCUACAACAAAUGGUUCCUCUAAGACACACAGGACAGAAGACACAUUUUGUUUAAAGACAGGAGUUUCAGUCUGUGGAUGCUAGGAAUGGUGUGGGGCCGCGAGGACAGGUAGAAGAUAGGGAUCUCAUGAGCACAGAAACAUGUCACACAGAAGGUCACAGUGACACACACAAACACACAGGCAUACACACACAGACGCACACAAAUACAAAACACACACACAAACACAGAAAUACACACAAAUCAAAGCAACACAAAUGUGUGUGUCCUUCUAACGUUGUCGUCCAGUCGGAGACAUGAUGGACUGCAGACAAUUUUAUCUUUUCAAAUUAAAUAAUGUCUUUCCGAAAAACAAAAUCUUGGAAUGAUAGAAAAAUUCAAUAUAAUGGUGAAAUCCUUCCCUGUAGGAUACAUUUCCAGUAAGUGCACUCCAAGCCGAGCAGGUCCGUCCUCAUCACAGUUCCCCUGUAGAGUCCUCUGGGGUAAAGUCUGCCAGUAUGUCCAAACAGGGGAACACUAUUCCUGUAACAUCCCAAGGCGCUCAAAUAGUUCAGGUCUUCAAGUACUCACAGUCACAUCCUUAGUGGAUCGUAAAAAAAUGGUAUGGAUAAAUUCCUUUCUGGAUGAUUAUAUUACACAAACCCCCAAAACCAAACAAAUGGAAAAAUAAAAGCAAAUUCACAUUAAUGAGCACCAUGAAGAAGGUGACAAAAUAAUGAGGCGAAGGGACACAUUUCAAGGUUACGUAACAUGCUUCAGCAGAUGGGUUCAUCCACAUUUCUCCCUCCCCUGACAUCAAUAAUAACGACCGGCAAAGGUUCCUUCCUCCAGCUAAAAGAAGCCAGAAAAGCCCAGAUCCAGAGGGUAGGCCCAAACCACUAGAGUCUCCACAACUGAUGUUUGUCCUGCUGGAAACACGACAUGGAUGUUUCUUAACUACACUUGUAUACGAAUGGCCUAAAGUAAAGCAUUGGCAUGGUUUGUCUUUUGAAGUCCAUACAGAGCAGAAACCUUAGGCCCAGGUUUGAUUGGAGGGAGAAAUGUGCAUCAUCACACUCCUUCUGGAUGAAUUACUGGCACUAACCUGAAGCACUGUGUGUGUGUGUGUGUGUGUGUGUGUGUGUGUGUGUGUGUGUGUGUGUGUGUGUGUGUGUGUGUGUGCGUGUGUGCGUGUGUGUGUGUGUGUGUCAGAGAUCUAAGUGUUGCUUGUAUAGAGUGUAGAUUCUGUAUUCCUGUGCUUCGUUGCGACAGGACAGGAGUUGGAAUAUUCAGCAGUAGCAGUAGAAUAGCAGUCGAUGUGUCUCCUUAUCUCUCUUUGUUUGAUGGAGAGAAUUAUUCACAGAUGAGCAGAAAGAAAGGAAAGUCUGGAACUGGAAAGAUGAUAAUAACCUGGGGAGAAGAGGAAAAAGAGAGAGAUAAAGCAGGAGACAGUGCAGAUGAGAAGAUACAUAAACAGAGAACACAGCCUUAGAGUACAGUAAGUCAGGGGGUGAGGUACAUAACAUCUAGAUGGUACAGAUACUCUUGCCUCACAGCUCGUUAAUCUAACAGCCUCUGAGUCUCAGCUGGAUCACAUUCACCAAGAUUAUAAUCACAAAGCUGUGGUUAUAUAGGUCCCUCCAAAGAAAGCUAUGGAAUAUUGAAAAAUUGUGUGUCAGGGUUGGGGUCCACUUCAAUAAAGGCAAUGCAGGAAAUCAAUUCAAUCUAAUUCAUGAAGCAGAAAUUGCCCGUCCUUUAUAAUGACGAUGUUUUCUAAAUCAUACAACUAAUUUAUC